RNAcentral lists this ribosomal RNA (498 nucleotides) under uncultured bacterium. RNAcentral's name for it is "bacterial SSU rRNA". It matches the Rfam family "Bacterial small subunit ribosomal RNA", at positions 29 to 507 of the family's 1533-position model. The record is from RNAcentral.
ACGAACGCUGGCGGCGUGCCUAAUACAUGCAAGUCGAGCGGACUAAUUAAGAGCUUGCUCUUAUGAGGUUAGCGGCGGACGGGUGAGUAACACGUGGGCAACCUGCCCUAUAGACUGGGAUAACAUCGAGAAAUCGGUGCUAAUACCGGAUAAUUGUUGGAACUGCAUAGUUCUAACUUAAAAGAUGGCUCCGGCUAUCACUAUAGGAUGGGCCCGCGGCGCAUUAGCUAGUUGGUAAGGUAAUGGCUUACCAAGGCGACGAUGCGUAGCCGACCUGAGAGGGUGAUCGGCCACACUGGGACUGAGACACGGCCCAGACUCCUACGGGAGGCAGCAGUAGGGAAUCUUCCGCAAUGGACGAAAGUCUGACGGAGCAACGCCGCGUGAGUGAUGAAGGUUUUCGGAUCGUAAAGCUCUGUUGUUAGGGAAGAACAAGUGCCGUUCGAAUAGGGCGGCACCUUGACGGUACCUAACCAGAAAGCCACGGCUAACUACGUG